Molecule: long non-coding RNA, 472 nt
Organism: Lytechinus variegatus (green sea urchin)
Lineage: Eukaryota; Metazoa; Echinodermata; Echinoidea; Temnopleuroida; Toxopneustidae
Exons: 4
Source: RefSeq, a predicted model, not a curated record
CCCGCACAUAAUCAGCGUCUUCGAAUCACUCGCCGGUCGCCGUGAUUUUGCUGCGAAGCAAUUCUUGGGUAGAUCGUAAAAGUUUCUUGCAGAGUUUCGCAGGAUUCAUGGUGAGGACCUAAUCACACUGUUCAACCAAGGACUACAAAGACUGGCAGAACCCCUUUCUGGACUUCACAAAGAUAGAUGCAAAUGAGCCAAGAAAGAUGUGACAGUUUACUUCCCGGAAGCUAAGAAGAAAUUGCCAUACAGAUUCUACCAACCUUUUUCAAGGAAGACCUGGUGAUAUAUUCAUCUCAAGUGACAAGGUUGAUACGAAGCCCAUGUACAUACGUGUAUCCUGCAAUCAAGAGGAAUCAUAUGAGCUUGUUCUGGAGGAGCAAAGAGUCUGUCAAGUCCAGGAUAAAGUGCAUGCAUUGGCUUGUUAAGUAGCUGGUUUUUAUUUUUCAUUCAGCCUAUGGCUAUGAGCCAU